Molecule: non-coding RNA, 221 nt
Organism: Pelobates cultripes (western spadefoot toad)
Lineage: Eukaryota; Metazoa; Chordata; Amphibia; Anura; Pelobatidae
Source: the annotation of a GenBank genome assembly
AAAUAUAUUCGGGGCCAAUACAAACCAUUGUGUGGAAAUCUAUUCACAAACCGGACUUUACAUAGGACACGAGGUCAUGCGUUUAGACUGGAAGAAAGAAGAUUUAGUCUAAGGCAAAGCAAAGGUUUUUUUACUGUAAGAACAAUCAGGAUGUGGAAUUCUCUGCCGGAAGAAGUGGUUUUAUCAGAGUUCAUACAGAUGUUCAAACAGCUACUAGAUGC